RNAcentral lists this ribosomal RNA (292 nucleotides) under uncultured bacterium. RNAcentral's name for it is "partial 16S ribosomal RNA". It matches the Rfam family "Bacterial small subunit ribosomal RNA", at positions 505 to 796 of the family's 1533-position model. The record is from RNAcentral.
GUGCCAGCCGCCGCGGUAAUACGUAGGGGGCAAGCGUUGUCCGGAAUCAUUGGGCGUAAAGAGCGUGUAGGCGGUCCGGUAAGUCGGUUGUGAAAGCCCAGGGCUCAACCCUGGGAUGCCGACCGAUACUGUCGGACUAGAGUUCGGAAGAGGCGAGUGGAAUUCCCGGUGUAGCGGUGAAAUGCGCAGAUAUCGGGAGGAACACCUAUGGCGAAGGCAGCUCGCUGGGACGUUACUGACGCUGAGACGCGAAAGCGUGGGGAGCAAACAGGAUUAGAAACCCUGGUAGUCC